Molecule: non-coding RNA, 148 nt
Organism: Macaca mulatta (Rhesus monkey)
Lineage: Eukaryota; Metazoa; Chordata; Mammalia; Primates; Cercopithecidae
Source: Rfam
GCUGGGCGUGGUGGCUCAUGCCUGUAAUUCCAGCACUUCGGGAGGCUGAGAUGGGAGGAUUGCUUGAGCCCAGCAGUUCGAGGCUGCAGUGAGACUUGAUAAUGCCACUGCACUCCAGCCUGGGUGACAGAGUGAGACCCCAUCUCUU